This is a long non-coding RNA of Lolium rigidum, 224 nucleotides long. RefSeq lists it as uncharacterized. The record is from RefSeq and is a predicted model, not a curated record. The transcript is spliced from 3 exons. NCBI's taxonomy places the organism in Eukaryota, Viridiplantae, Streptophyta, Magnoliopsida, Poales, Poaceae.
UGUGGUGCAAGCUAUAUUAAGGGUUCCCAUAGUGACUUGAAUGUGAUGGAGAAGGAGGAAGAUGAUGAGGAAAAUGUGGAGACCAUCAACUUGCCUAAGGCCUAAGGGUGUGGUGAACAACAACUAUUGACUAUCAUGUCAUUUGGAUGUUGCUACAAUGGAGUUGCACAAAUGAAGAUGGAUGAUGAUCUUGCUAGAAGUUGAACUUGUCUUAUUUUAUUUGU